RNAcentral lists this unclassified non-coding RNA (679 nucleotides) under Hevea brasiliensis (rubber tree). The record is from RNAcentral. Lineage: Eukaryota; Viridiplantae; Streptophyta; Magnoliopsida; Malpighiales; Euphorbiaceae.
ACAGAGUAGCCAAGAGAAUUGCCAAGACUUGAAAUGAUUGCGAGAAUUCAAGCCACAAGAAUGACAUAAAGAUGGAGAUGGAAUUGUUAAACAGCUGAAAAAACGCCAGUUUACGUAGCUGCAAAAUGGUGAAGAAAGUACGGAACAUGUGGAGGAACCGAGAAAGAUAAUACAUGUAGGACCAGAAGAAAACCCGACCAGAGGGACGUGUUCCCAGAGGAAAACAGAGAAGCCACUGAAAUGGGGUCUUGGAACGCCGCCAAAACCAGCGUGUUUCUUGGAUCUCCGCAGCUGUUGAAAGGAGAAUGCCAGCGAAGAUCGUGACCGAAAUCAACGCCAUGGAGAGACUAUGAACGGCGGGGAUUGGACCGAGAGGGACCACACGGCCACGACGGAGAAGAAUCGCCAAGAAAAGAUGGACGAAAGCGCAAAAUCCAAGGUAGAAGACUAUGGAGGAGAAGAGGAAUGACCAGGUGGAGCCCCAUGAUUGGCUGUGGCUCCAUCGGAAAUUAACAAUGGAUGGAUGCUCGGAGAGGUAAUAGUUUAGUGUUUGAAAGACGGCGUCCAUCAUCACCGUGGACGGAGGAUGAGACAGCGGAGGUGAGGUUUAGGAGAGGAGGAGCACCGCCCUGGCCGUGGUGGUUGCGUAUGCGGUUUGGUAGUCAUCCACGGCCGUGCC